This 426-nucleotide ribosomal RNA is filed under the name uncultured cyanobacterium. Its description in RNAcentral is "bacterial SSU rRNA". It matches the Rfam family "Bacterial small subunit ribosomal RNA", at positions 356 to 795 of the family's 1533-position model. The record is from RNAcentral. Lineage: Bacteria; Bacillati; Cyanobacteriota.
GGGGAAUUUUCCGCAAUGGGCGAAAGCCUGACGGAGCAAUACCGCGUGAGGGAUGGCGGCCUAUGGGUUGUAAACCUCUUUUUUCAGGGAGGAAUCAAAUGACGUGUACCUGAAGAAUAAGCAUCGGCUAACUCCGUGCCAGCAGCCGCGGUAAGACGGGGGAUGCAAGUGUUAUCCGGAAUCACUGGGCGUAAAGCGUCUGUAGGUGGUCCAAUAAGUCAACUGUUAAAUCUUGAGGCUCAACCUCAAAAUCGCAGUCGAAACUAUUAGACUAGAGUAUAGUAGGGGUAAAGGGAAUUUCCAGUGGAGCGGUGAAAUGCGUAGAGAUUGGAAAGAACACCGAUGGCGAAGGCACUUUACUUGGCUAUUACUAACACUCAGAGACGAAGGCUAGGGUAGCAAAUGGGAUUAGAUACCCCUGUAGUC